UCAUCUUAAAGACUUCAAAGAGGUAACUAGC
RNAcentral lists this non-coding RNA (31 nucleotides) under Mus musculus (house mouse). Lineage: Eukaryota; Metazoa; Chordata; Mammalia; Rodentia; Muridae. The record is from RNAcentral.